Molecule: ribosomal RNA, 2896 nt
Rfam family: Bacterial large subunit ribosomal RNA
GUUAUAUGGUCAAGCGAAUAAGCGCACACGGUGGAUGCCUAGGCGGUCAGAGGCGAUGAAGGACGUGGUAGCCUGCGAAAAGUGUCGGGGAGCUGGCAACAAGCUUUGAUCCGGCAAUAUCCGAAUGGGGAAACCCACUGCUUCGGCAGUAUCCUGCAGUGAAUUCAUAGCUGCUGGAAGCGAACCCGGUGAACUGAAAUAUCUAAGUAACCGGAGGAAAAGAAAUCAACCGAGAUUCCCUAAGUAGUGACGAGCGAACGGGGAGCAGCCCUUAAGCUGGAAUGGCUUUAGAAAAACAAUCUGGAAAGAUUGGCCAUAGAAGGUGAUAGCCCUGUAUUUAAAAGGGCCACUCCAGUGAAGACGAGUAGGGCGGGGCACGUGAAACCCUGUCUGAAUAUGGGGGGACCAUCCUCCAAGGCUAAAUACUCCUGACCGACCGAUAGUGAACCAGUACCGUGAGGGAAAGGUGAAAAGAACCCGGAGAGGGGAGUGAAAUAGAUCCUGAAACCGUGUGCGUACAAGCAGUAGGAGCUCGCAAGAGUGACUGCGUACCUUUUGUAUAAUGGGUCAGCGACUUACUGUUCGUGGCAAGCUUAACCGUAUAGGGGAGGCGAAGGGAAACCGAGUCUGAUAAGGGCGCAUAGUCGCGGGCAGUAGACCCGAAACCGGGUGAUCUAGUCAUGGCCAGGGUGAAGGUGCCGUAACAGGUACUGGAGGCCCGAACCCACGUCUGUUGCAAAAGACGGGGAUGAGCUGUGAUUAGGAGUGAAAAGCUAAUCGAACCCGGAGAUAGCUGGUUCUCCUCGAAAGCUAUUUAGGUAGCGCCUCAUAUGUAUCCUCUCGGGGGUAGAGCACUGUUAUGGCUAGGGGGUCAUCGCGACUUACCAAACCAUUGCAAACUCCGAAUACCGAGACGGACUGUAUGGGAGACACACGGCGGGUGCUAACGUCCGUCGUGAAAAGGGAAACAACCCAGACCCACAGCUAAGGUCCCAAAUUCACUGCUAAGUGGAAAACGAUGUGGAAAGGCAUAGACAGCCAGGAGGUUGGCUUAGAAGCAGCCACCCUUUAAAGAAAGCGUAAUAGCUCACUGGUCGAGUCGGUCUGCGCGGAAGAUUUAACGGGGCUAAGCAGUGAACCGAAGCUUGGGGUGCAUAAAACUUGUUUUAUGCGCGGUAGAGGAGCGUUCCGUAAGCCUGCGAAGGUGGAUUGAGAAGUCUGCUGGAGGUAUCGGAAGUGCGAAUGCUGACAUGAGUAACGAUAAUGCGGGUGAAAAGCCCGCACGCCGAAAGCCCAAGGUUUCCUUGCGCAACGUUAAUCGACGCAGGGUUAGUCGGUCCCUAAGGCGAGGGCGAAAGCCGUAGUCGAUGGGAAGCAGGUUAAUAUUCCUGCACCUCGCGUGAGUGCGAUGGAGGGACGGAGAAGGUUAGGUGUACCGGGCGUUGGUUGUCCCGGGGAAAGGCGGUAGGUUUGGAUCUUUGGCAAAUCCGGGAUCCUUUAAGACCGAGCACCGAGACGAGCCUUUAUGGCGAAGUCACUGAUACCACGCUUCCAGGAAAAGCUCCUAAGCUUCAGCUCACGAAGACCGUACCGUAAACCGACACAGGUGGGUAGGAUGAGAAUUCUCAGGCGCUUGAGAGAACUCGGGUGAAGGAACUAGGCAACAUGGCACCGUAACUUCGGGAGAAGGUGCACCCUUUUUGGUGGCUCGUGCGAGCUAUAGCUGAAGAGGGUCGCAGAAACCAGGCCGCUGCGACUGUUUAUCAAAAACACAGCACUCUGCAAACACGAAAGUGGACGUAUAGGGUGUGACGCCUGCCCGGUGCUGGAAGGUUAAUUGAUGGGGUCAGCCGCAAGGCGAAGCUCUUGAUCGAAGCCCCAGUAAACGGCGGCCGUAACUAUAACGGUCCUAAGGUAGCGAAAUUCCUUGUCGGGUAAGUUCCGACCUGCACGAAUGGCGUAACGACAGCGGCGCUGUCUCCACCCGAGACUCAGUGAAAUUGAAAUCGCUGUGAAGAUGCAGCGUUCCCGUGGCAAGACGGAAAGACCCCGUGAACCUUUACUAUAGCUUUACACUGAACGUUGAGUUCGUCUGUGUAGGAUAGGUGGGAGGCUAUGAAACUGUGGCGCUAGCUGCAGUGGAGCCAUCCUUGAAAUACCACCCUGUCGUGCUUGACGUUCUAACCUAGGUCCGUUAUCCGGAUCAGGGACCGUGUAUGGUGGGUAGUUUGACUGGGGCGGUCUCCUCCUAAAGAGUAACGGAGGAGCACGAAGGUACGCUCAGCGCGGUCGGACAUCGCGCACUGUGUGCAAAGGCAUAAGCGUGCUUGACUGCAAGAUCGACGGAUCAAGCAGGUACGAAAGUAGGUCUUAGUGAUCCGGUGGUUCUGUAUGGAAGGGCCAUCGCUCAACGGAUAAAAGGUACUCCGGGGAUAACAGGCUGAUACCGCCCAAGAGUUCAUAUCGACGGCGGUGUUUGGCACCUCGAUGUCGGCUCAUCACAUCCUGGGGCUGUAGUCGGUCCCAAGGGUAUGGCUGUUCGCCAUUUAAAGUGGUACGCGAGCUGGGUUCAGAACGUCGUGAGACAGUUCGGUCCCUAUCUGCCAUGGGCGUUGGAAGUUUGAGAGGGGCUGCUCCUAGUACGAGAGGACCGGAGUGGACGAACCUCUGGUGUUCCGGUUGUCACGCCAGUGGCAUUGCCGGGUAGCUAUGUUCGGAAGCGAUAACCGCUGAAAGCAUCUAAGCGGGAAGCGCGCCUCAAGAUGAGACUUCCCGGGGCACAAGCCCCCUAAAGGAACCAUGUAGACUACGUGGUUGAUAGGUCAGGUGUGUAAGUACAGCAAUGUAUUGAGCUAACUGAUACUAAUGAUCCGUGCGGCUUGACCAUAUAACCUCA